UUACGCUGUAUUCCAACACGUAAUAUAUCUUCAUAUAAAUUUUUUAGAUUAUUUUUAUCGACAUAUAUUAUAAUCUAGACUAUUUGUAUUUUUAGUUAAAUAAUUCAGUAUUUUCCUUAAAGUAAUAUAUUCUUGGACAUUUCUAACAUUAAUUUUUUCCCAUCCGAUUGUUCUAAAUAUAAUCUAUUUUCUAUUAAAUGUAAUGAAUUUUCUUUUAUCAAUUUAUAUAAUCCUAAUCUUUGCAAUUUACCUUUUGUACUUGUUUCUUUAUAAUUUAUUGUUUUGGGUGUUAAUGAAGAAAGGGUUUUGCCAGGAGUAUCUGGUCUUGGAGAAAGUGUUGAUGUGGAUGGCAUGUUUAAUUCAACGGGUGUUAUGUUGGAUGUUCUGCAUAUAUUAAAUGAUGAUGGUGUUAAUUUUAAGGAAGAGUCUGGAGAGAGGAAGGAGAAGAUUCUGCUAAUGAUUUUGAUGGUGUUAGUUGUUGAUCAGAUGGUUCUUCCAAUACAGAAACAACGCGAACAGAAGUGGAUUCGGCUGCUUUGCUAUCAUUAUUUUUCUUUAUUUUACCUAUUUUAAUAAAAAAAUAAUUAAAAAUAAUAUAAUUAAAUGAAAAUUUUAUUUGAAAUAUUAAUAUUUACCUAUUAGUUCACCAAUAUUAUUGAAAAAGCAAUCAUAAUUGCUGCUACCUGUUUAUAUACUAUUCAAAACUAAUUUGC
This 713-nucleotide long non-coding RNA is filed under the name Androctonus crassicauda. The record is from RNAcentral. Lineage: Eukaryota; Metazoa; Arthropoda; Arachnida; Scorpiones; Buthidae.